CGAGAGGACCGGAGUGGACGCAUCACUGGUGUUCGGGUUGUCAUGCCAAUGGCACUGCCCGGUAGCUAAAUGCGGAAGAGAUAAGUGCUGAAAGCAUCUAAGCACGAAACUUGCCCCGAGAUGAGUUCUCCCUGACUCCUUGAGAGUCCUGAAGGAACGUUGAAGACGACGACGUUGAUAGGCCGGGUGUGUAAGCGCAGCGAUGCGUUGAGCUAACCGGUACUAAUGAACCGUGAGGCUUAACCUU
RNAcentral lists this ribosomal RNA (247 nucleotides) under Escherichia coli. Its description in RNAcentral is "partial 23S ribosomal RNA". It matches the Rfam family "Bacterial large subunit ribosomal RNA", at positions 2684 to 2925 of the family's 2925-position model. Lineage: Bacteria; Pseudomonadati; Pseudomonadota; Gammaproteobacteria; Enterobacterales; Enterobacteriaceae. RNAcentral also lists the same sequence under 1 other name. The record is from RNAcentral.